UACGUAGGGUGCAAGCGUUGUCCGGAUUUAUUGGGUUUAAAGGGUGCGUAGGCGGCCCUGUAAGUCAGUGGUGAAAUACUCCAGCUUAACUGGAGGGGUGCCAUUGAUACUGCAGGGCUUGAGUUAAGUUGAAGUUGGCGGAAUUGACGGUGUAGCGGUGAAAUGCUUAGAUAUCGUCAAGAACACCGAUAGUGAAGACAGCUAACUAAACUUUUACUGACGCUGAGGCACGAAAGUGUGGGGAUCAAACAGG
RNAcentral lists this ribosomal RNA (253 nucleotides) under uncultured bacterium. RNAcentral describes it as "partial 16S ribosomal RNA". It matches the Rfam family "Bacterial small subunit ribosomal RNA", at positions 524 to 776 of the family's 1533-position model. RNAcentral also lists the same sequence under 2 other names. The record is from RNAcentral.